Molecule: long non-coding RNA, 1184 nt
Filed under: Homo sapiens (human)
Lineage: Eukaryota; Metazoa; Chordata; Mammalia; Primates; Hominidae
Description: non-protein coding lnc-CLK1-1:6
Source: RNAcentral
CUACCUCCCUUAAGAGCGAAGAGGACACAGGCCGAAGAUUGAGAAGGGGAAAUUCUGUCCUCCAACCGCGGUCCCUGCGCGCUGCAGCGGUUGUCUCCCGAGUGUGGUGGCUAUGGGGACUUGGAGAGCAUCAGAAUCCCUUGGAGGACUUGUUAUAACAGACUGCUGGGCCCCACCCGUAGUUUCUCAUUCUGUAGGCCUGGUGUGGAACCCAUGAAUGUGCAUUUCCAACAAGUUAUCUGUGAUGCUGCUGCUGGUCCGCACCUUGAGAACCCCUCAGUUAGAGGCUAUAUCAUCAGGGAGCUGGGGUACGAUCAGAUUAGAUAGUGCGUGUGAAAAGCACUGUGGACGUGACAAAACUCUGUGCAGAUAAAGAUGCACAGCGCCUCUAGGAUGUAGCCCCAUGUUUUUAUUCACUGUACAGUAGUUUACUUCUCUCCAGUUGCUUCCUCACUCUCUGGUAGGAGGAGAGUGGCUUCUCUUCCCUAAACCUUUUGAUAAAAUAGUUUGUUGACUUCUUUUCCCUAAUUAACUAUCUGACCUCUACCCCACCCCCCCGCAACUUCAUGGAAAAAUGACUUUCUCAGCGUUCGUUCCUGAAAUUAUUGCCAAACCCAGUGUUUUAUUCUUCACCCUGUUUGCCUCCUCUGAGCAUUGAAUGUUACCUACCUCUCUCCUUGAAUCCUGGCUCCAGCUAUCCUGGUUACGUUCUGAAUGUGCCUUUGCACGGUAUUUUCUGACUCUUCUUUUCUGUACUGAUACCUUUUCUUUCUGGAUACUUUCUUCUAUGGCAGUCUCAUACAUUCUCAAGGAUUUAACAUUUACUCCACUUAAAAGAGUUCCAAGAUCAUCUACUGAAUCAUUAAGCAAAUAUUUGUUAAAUCCAGGCUCUAUGCCCUUCCAAGUUGAGGCAACAGCAGUGGGAAGGAGGCAGGAAACAAACUGCAUCUGUUGGAGGAACUGCAAGAAGCUAGUGUGAUUGGGAGGGCUGUGGGGAGCAGAGGGAAGUGGCUGGAGUCUGAUCUCUAAGUGUCUAGCCCCUUCCUUUCUCCCAAGGCCCCAGUCCACACUAUCUGGCAUCUUCACUUCAUGGCUAAUUUAACACUGUCAGUGCUGUCAAUUGCUCUUCCCCCAGAACUGUAUUUUUCACAUCUGAAGUUCUGUUAAAGGACAACGUUUCACAA